GACGAACGCUGGCGGCGUGCUUAACACAUGCAAGUCGAACGGAAAGGCCCUGCUUUUGUGGGGUGCUCGAGUGGCGAACGGGUGAGUAACACGUGAGUAACCUGCCCUUGACUUUGGGAUAACUUCAGGAAACUGGGGCUAAUACCGGAUAGGAGCUCCUGCUGCAUGGUGGGGGUUGGAAAGUUUCGGCGGGUGGGGAUGGACUCGCGGCUUAUCAGCUUGUUGGUGGGGUAGUGGCUUACCAAGGCUUUGACGGGUAGCCGGCCUGAGAGGGUGACCGGCCACAUUGGGACUGAGAUACGGCCCAGACUCCUACGGGAGGCAGCAGUGGGGAAUAUUGCACAAUGGGCGGAAGCCUGAUGCAGCAACGCCGCGUGCGGGAUGACGGCCUUCGGGUUGUAAACCGCUUUCGCCUGUGACGCAGCGUGAGUGACGGUAAUGGGUAAAGAAGCACCGGCUAACUACGUG
RNAcentral lists this ribosomal RNA (468 nucleotides) under uncultured bacterium. RNAcentral's name for it is "partial 16S ribosomal RNA". It matches the Rfam family "Bacterial small subunit ribosomal RNA", at positions 28 to 507 of the family's 1533-position model. The record is from RNAcentral.